GAUGAACGCUGGCGGCGUGCUUAACACAUGCGAGUCGAACGAAGCACCUUGAUUUGAUUCUUCGGAUGAAGAUCUUGGUGACUGAGUGGCGGACGGGUGAGUAACGCGUGGGUAACCUGCCUCAUACAGGGGGAUAACAGUUAGAAAUGACUGCUAAUACCGCAUAAGACCACAGCACCGCAUGGUGCAGGGGUAAAAACUCCGGUGGUAUGAGAUGGACCCGCGUCUGAUUAGGUAGUUGGUGGGGUAACGGCCUACCAAGCCGACGAUCAGUAGCCGACCUGAGAGGGUGACCGGCCACAUUGGGACUGAGACACGGCCCAAACUCCUACGGGAGGCAGCAGUGGGGAAUAUUGCACAAUGGGGGAAACCCUGAUGCAGCGACGCCGCGUGAGCGAUGAAGUAUUUCGGUAUGUAAAGCUCUAUCAGCAGGGAAGAAAAUGACGGUACCUGACUAAGAAGCACCGGCUAAAUACGUG
Molecule: ribosomal RNA, 479 nt
Filed under: uncultured bacterium
Lineage: Bacteria
Description: partial 16S ribosomal RNA
Rfam family: Bacterial small subunit ribosomal RNA
Source: RNAcentral